Long non-coding RNA from Venturia canescens, 573 nucleotides. RefSeq lists it as uncharacterized. Lineage: Eukaryota; Metazoa; Arthropoda; Insecta; Hymenoptera; Ichneumonidae. The record is from RefSeq and is a predicted model, not a curated record. The transcript is spliced from 2 exons.
AAAAAUUUCAUCAGUAAAGAUGAAACUGUUGAGCUGGAACGUCGUUUUUUACGGUCUCGUAUCCAUGAUGGUUUUCGUGGUCAUUGGCAGCUCGUGUAAACCUACUCUACCUGCAGUUACAUCUACUUAUCGUCCUGGUACGAGGCCCCCCUCCCCCCCACCGACCGUGGCGAUGAUUUUGGGACCGUGUCCAGAUGAUCGGAUGAGGGAUUCAAAUGGGCUUUGUCGCAGGUUCAUCACUCCCCCGGGAAUGAAAAAAGUGCAAGAUCACUCGUAGAUGCCCUCCGUGUACGUAUGGAGCACCCACACGGUGCGAGUGUGUCUGCGGAGAACUUAUGCCCGAUUGUGACUUGUCUACGCCUACCACUCACGGACCUCUUGAAAUGGAUGUGUUUGCGACAGGAUAACUUCGCAUUCGAUUUAACUUUAUCGUCCGUAAGAACACGAAAAAUGUCACAGAAAUUGAAAAAUGUUCUCGGAAGGAAUUUUCCUUCGCGUUUGUUUUCUGCGUUUUCCUCUACUGUACUUGUUCAAAAUAGUUGUUGAAUAAUAAAUCAAAUAUGUAGAUUCUCA